AGCCUGCGCCGGAGCCGGGGCCUGAGCCCGGGCCGCGCGGGCCGCGAACUCGUCGAGCUGC
This 61-nucleotide microRNA precursor is filed under the name Rhinopithecus roxellana (golden snub-nosed monkey). RNAcentral's name for it is "miRNA (ENSRROG00000024951.1)". Lineage: Eukaryota; Metazoa; Chordata; Mammalia; Primates; Cercopithecidae. The record is from RNAcentral.